Molecule: transfer-messenger RNA, 292 nt
Filed under: Hydrogenophaga aromaticivorans
Lineage: Bacteria; Pseudomonadati; Pseudomonadota; Betaproteobacteria; Burkholderiales; Comamonadaceae
Description: Betaproteobacteria transfer-messenger RNA
Rfam family: Betaproteobacteria transfer-messenger RNA
About the family: Bacterial tmRNA, also known as 10Sa RNA or SsrA, is named for its dual tRNA and mRNA-like properties. Its role is to liberate the mRNA from a stalled ribosome.
Source: Rfam by way of RNAcentral
CAUCCACCAAGGGCUUUCGUCGGCCCGCAGUGAACAUGAUCGUAGGCGGGCGAAACCCCGCCAGAAGCUGACGUGAAAGUGUGCUGGACGCGGGUUCGAUUUCCGCCACCUCCACCAUGCGGGGGUGUACUGGUUUCGACAGUGCCCGGAAGCCGAUGCCGACGAUCCGACAGGCGUUCGCCGUAAGCGAAGCAAAACCCAGAACUGCCAAUGAAAGCACGUUCCUGAAAGCGGCCUAAAACCGCCUUCGGAGCCGCCCUGCGCUCGGCAACAGAAGCAGGGCACCCAUUCA